CACUCCUACGGGAGGCAGCAGUGGGGAAUAUUGGACAAUGGGCGCAAGCCUGAUCCAGCCAUGCCGCGUGAGUGAUGAAGGCCCUAGGGUUGUAAAGCUCUUUUGUGCGGGAAGAUAAUGACGGUACCGCAAGAAUAAGCCCCGGCUAACUUCGUGCCAGCAGCCGCGGUAAUACGAAGGGGGCUAGCGUUGCUCGGAAUCACUGGGCGUAAAGGGUGCGUAGGCGGGUCUUUAAGUCAGGGGUGAAAUCCUGGAGCUCAACUCCAGAACUGCCUUUGAUACUGAAGAUCUUGAGUUCGGGAGAGGUGAGUGGAACUGCGAGUGUAGAGGUGAAAUUCGUAGAUAUUCGCAAGAACACCAGUGGCGAAGGCGGCUCACUGGCCCGAUACUGACGCUGAGGCACGAAAGCGUGGGGAGCAAACAGGAUUAGAAACCCCGGUAGUCCCA
RNAcentral lists this ribosomal RNA (447 nucleotides) under uncultured organism. RNAcentral's name for it is "partial 16S ribosomal RNA". It matches the Rfam family "Bacterial small subunit ribosomal RNA", at positions 334 to 797 of the family's 1533-position model. The record is from RNAcentral.